UAAAAACCCCGACUUCGGAAGGGGUGUAUUUAUUAGAUACAAAACCAAUGCCCUUCGGGGCUCUUUGGUGAUUCAUGAUAACUAUACGAAUCGCACGGCCUUGCGCCGGCGAUGGUUCAUUCAAAUUUCUUCCCUAUCAACUUUCGAUGUUUGGGUAUUGGCCAAACAUGGUUGCAACGGGUAACGGAGGGUUAGGGCUCGACCCCGGAGAAGGAGCCUGAGAAACGGCUACUACAUCCAAGGAAGGCAGCAGGCGCGCAAAUUACCCAAUCCCGACUCGGGGAGGUAGUGAUAAUAAAUACUGAUACAGGGCCCUUUCGGGCCUUGUAAUUGGAAUGAGUACAAUUUAAAUCCCUUAACGAGGAACAAUUGGAGGGCAAGACUGGUGCCAGCAGCCGCGGUAAUUCCAGCUCCAAUAGCGUAUAUUAAAGUUGUUGUGGUUAAAAAGCUCGUAGUUGAACCUUGGGCCUGGCUGGCCGGUCCGCCUCACCGCGUGCACUGGUCCGGCCGGGCCUUUCCCUCUGUGGAACCCCAUACCCUUCACUGGGCGUGGCGGGGAAACAGGACAUUUACUUU
RNAcentral lists this ribosomal RNA (576 nucleotides) under uncultured eukaryote. RNAcentral describes it as "SSU rRNA". It matches the Rfam family "Eukaryotic small subunit ribosomal RNA", at positions 174 to 758 of the family's 1831-position model. The record is from RNAcentral.